This 492-nucleotide ribosomal RNA is filed under the name uncultured bacterium. RNAcentral describes it as "partial 16S ribosomal RNA". It matches the Rfam family "Bacterial small subunit ribosomal RNA", at positions 29 to 507 of the family's 1533-position model. The record is from RNAcentral.
AGUGAACGCUGGCGGUAGGCCUAACACAUGCAAGUCGAACGGCAGCACAGUAAGAGCUUGCUCUUACGGGUGGCGAGUGGCGGACGGGUGAGGAAUACAUCGGAAUCUACUUUUUCGUGGGGGAUAACGUAGGGAAACUUACGCUAAUACCGCAUACGACCUACGGGUGAAAGCAGGGGAUCUUCGGACCUUGCGCGAUUGAAUGAGCCGAUGUCGGAUUAGCUAGUUGGCGGGGUAAAGGCCCACCAAGGCGACGAUCCGUAGCUGGUCUGAGAGGAUGAUCAGCCACACUGGAACUGAGACACGGUCCAGACUCCUAAGGGAGGCCGCAGUGGGGAAUAUUGGACAAUGGGCGCAAGCCUGAUCCAGCCAUACCGCGUGGGUGAAGAAGGCCUUCGGGUUGUAAAGCCCUUUUGUUGGGAAAGAAAAGCAGCAGGUUAAUACCCCGCUGUUCUGACGGUACCCAAAGAAUAAGCACCGGCUAACUUCGUG